RNAcentral lists this unclassified non-coding RNA (677 nucleotides) under Hevea brasiliensis (rubber tree). The record is from RNAcentral. Lineage: Eukaryota; Viridiplantae; Streptophyta; Magnoliopsida; Malpighiales; Euphorbiaceae.
GUUAUUAUUAGGCAGCAGUAACCUCCGUCUUGUGUCUCCCAGUAGCUCUAAUGUAACACAAAACUGCCACCAGAAAGGUGGUGGCAAGACCGCCUAGGAUCACCCCACCACCGGCAACCGAUGCAUCAAAUGAUUGGUGAUGCCUUUCGUGCAGCAAGUGAAUCUCCUGUCCUUUGACGCUAACAUCCUCUUCAUUCUUAGGCUCAGAACUGGUUUCUUUCGUAUUAGAAUGCAACUUCUUUCCAGAUUGUGGAGCAAUGGAUGGGCUAGGACUGGGAGCAACCGACUGGUGAUUUCCAAGUUUCCUGGGAAGGGGUGAUUCCUGAGAAUUCCAGUAUGAAUCGGAGGGACUAGGUGCUGGUGGAUCUGAGGAGAACAAGGAGUGAAACCCAUCAUUAGCCAUGGCCAGAACCACAAAAGCAUCUGCGAGCAAAAUGAAGGAAACGAGAAAAAUUUGAGCCAUUAUAUUGGAGAUGCUUGGUUGAGUUGUUUGAGGCAGUGAAGGCGAAGAAGAAGCUUUGGAUAUUAUAUAUAGUGGGUUGGAUUAAUUAGAAGGAGAGAUCUCAUCUAUGAGCGUGUGGGUUUGAUGGAAAUUUCCUUUUGUAAGAUUCCAGGGGUAAUUUAUUCAAUUUGAUAAUCUGUUAUUACAGGGCUGUCUUGCUUCUGUUGAGUAUAAG